This 413-nucleotide ribosomal RNA is filed under the name uncultured eukaryote. RNAcentral's name for it is "SSU rRNA". It matches the Rfam family "Eukaryotic small subunit ribosomal RNA", at positions 567 to 990 of the family's 1831-position model. The record is from RNAcentral.
CCAGCAGCUGCGGUAAUUCAAGCUCUAAUAGCGUAUAUUAAAGUUGUUGCAGUUAAAAAGCACGUAGUCGGAUGUCGGGCUCGGGCAGGCUGUCGGCUUCGGUCGGACGGCAGGCUCGGGUCUUUCUGCCUGAGGAACCCGUGGCACUUAACUGUGCGGCGUGGGCACGCAGGCCGUUUACUUUGAAAAAAUUAGAGUGUUCAAAGCAGGCCUACGCUUGAAUACAUUAGCAUGGAAUAAUGGAAUAGGACUUUGGUUCUAUUUUGUUGGUUUCUAGGACCAAAGUAAUGAUGAAUAGGGAUAGUUGGGGGCAUUAGUAUUGAGCUGUCAGAGGUGAAAUUCUUGGAUUUGCUCAAGACUAACAACUGCGAAAGCAUUUGCCAAGGAUGUUUUCAUUGAUCAAGAACGAAAGU